UAGCUAGUUGGUGAGGUAACGGCCCACCAAGGCGACGAUCGGUAGCCGGACUGAGAGGUUGAACGGCCACAUUGGGACUGAGACACGGCCCAGACUCCUACGGGAGGCAGCAGUGGGGAAUAUUGCACAAUGGGGGAAACCCUGAUGCAGCGACGCCGCGUGGAGGAAGAAGGUCUUCGGAUUGUAAACUCCUGUUGUUGGGGAAGAUAAUGACGGUACCCAACAAGGAAGUGACGGCUAACUACGUGCCAGCAGCCGCGGUAAAACGUAGGUCACAAGCGUUGUCCGGAAUUACUGGGUGUAAAGGGAGCGCAGGCGGGAAGACAAGUUGGAAGUGAAAUCUAUGGGCUCAACACAUAAACUGCUUUCAAAACUGUUUUUCUUGAGUAGUGCAGAGGUAGGCGGAAUUCCCGGUGUAGCGGUGGAAUGCGUAGAUAUCGGGAGGAACACCAGUGGCGAAGGCGGCCUACUGGGCACCAACUGACGCUGAGGCUCGAAAGUGUGGGUAGCAAACAGGAUUAGAUACCCUGGUAGUCCACACCGUAAACGAUGAUUACUAGGUGUUGGAGGAUUGACCCCUUCAGUGCCGCAGUUAACACAAUAAGUAAUCCACCUGGGGAGUACGACCGCAAGGUUGAAACUCAAAGGAAUUGACGGGGGCCCGCACAAGCAGUGGAGUAUGUGGUUUAAUUCGACGCAACGCGAAGAACCUUACCAAGUCUUGACAUCCCUUGACGAUGCUGGAAACAGUAUUUCUCUUCGGAGCAAGGAGACAGGUGGUGCAUGGUUGUCGUCAGCUCGUGUCGUGAGAUGCUGGGUUAAGUCCCGCAACGAGCGCAACCCUUAUGGUCAGUUACUACGCAAGAGGACUCUGGCCAGACUGCCGUUGACAAAACGGAGGAAGGUGGGGAUGACGUCAAAUCAUCAUGCCCUUUAUGACUUGGGCUACACACGUACUACAAUGGCGUUAAACAAAGAGAAGCAAGACCGCGAGGUGGAGCAAAACUCAGAAACAACGUCCCAGUUCGGACUGCAGGCUGCAACUCGCCUGCACGAAGUCGGAAUUGCUAGUAAUCGUGGAUCAGCAUGCCACGGUGAAUACGUUCCCGGGCCUUGUACACACCGCCCGUCACACCAUGAGAGCCGGGGGGACCCGAAGUCGGUAGUCUAACCGUAAGGAGGACGCCGCCGAAGGUAAAACUGGUGAUUGGGGUGAAGUCGUAACAAGGUAA
This 1232-nucleotide ribosomal RNA is filed under the name metagenome. RNAcentral describes it as "bacterial SSU rRNA". It matches the Rfam family "Bacterial small subunit ribosomal RNA", at positions 242 to 1499 of the family's 1533-position model. The record is from RNAcentral.